This 517-nucleotide ribosomal RNA is filed under the name uncultured bacterium. RNAcentral's name for it is "bacterial SSU rRNA". It matches the Rfam family "Bacterial small subunit ribosomal RNA", at positions 992 to 1509 of the family's 1533-position model. The record is from RNAcentral.
AGAACUUAGCAGAGAUGCUUUGGUGCCUUCGGGAACUCUGAGACAGGUGCUGCAUGGCUGUCGUCAGCUCGUGUUGUGAAAUGUUGGGUUAAGUCCCGCAACGAGCGCAACCCUUAUCCUUUGUUGCCAGCGGUUAGGCCGGGAACUCAAAGGAGACUGCCAGUGAUAAACUGGAGGAAGGUGGGGAUGACGUCAAGUCAUCAUGGCCCUUACGAGUAGGGCUACACACGUGCUACAAUGGCGCACACAAAGAGAAGCGACCUCGCGAGAGCAAGCGGACCUCAUAAAGUGCGUCGUAGUCCGGAUUGGAGUCUGCAACUCGACUCCAUGAAGUCGGAAUCGCUAGUAAUCGUGGAUCAGAAUGCCACGGUGAAUACGUUCCCGGGCCUUGUACACACCGCCCGUCACACCAUGGGAGUGGGUUGCAAAAGAAGUAGGUAGCUUAACCUUCGGGAGGGCGCUUACCACUUUGUGAUUCAUGACUGGGGUGAAGUCGUAACAAGGUAAGCGUAGUGCU